This is a long non-coding RNA of Cercocebus atys (sooty mangabey), 1913 nucleotides long. RefSeq lists it as uncharacterized. Lineage: Eukaryota; Metazoa; Chordata; Mammalia; Primates; Cercopithecidae. The record is from RefSeq and is a predicted model, not a curated record. The transcript is spliced from 3 exons.
AUGCUAUAACCUGUCCACCUUACCCAUCUGGCCACUCUUACAUUCUCCUUCAAAUGCUCCAUUCACAAAACCUUCUCUUCUUUUUUUUAGGUUGGAACUUCAAUGCAGAGGGUUGAAGUGAUCAUAUCAUUUGAAGACUAACCCUGCUUAUUCCUGUGAAUCAAGUGGUGAUCUUCUGCAGUUUGGAAGAAACAAAAAGGAAUGGGUAAUGUAAAAAUCUGGAUCAGUAUGCUAGUUCUGGGCAAUUAUCCUGUAAAUUCUGCCAGGCAAUGAAAGUGAGUAGGGUGCCUGUAACCCAGAGGUUUCUUUGUUGAGGGAAAUAGAAUGAAGAAACUUCAUGGAUCCCCUAAAAGGAAAUUCUAUAUCUUAGCAAGUAUAAUUUUAGAUGGAAAUUAUCCACCACACCACACUUGCAGGAAUUGCUAUAGUCUCUGUACUAUUUGUAGUAGAGCUAUAUAUGGUGGCACAUUCUAACUGAAAUAUUGGACAGAGAGUUUCCAUCAUUGUAAUAUUUUGCUUAAUUAUUAUCCUUAGAGCAGGGUUAAUAGCCACCAACAAAAAAGAAGCAUGAGAGUUUUACUAUCACUGAGUUUGCUAGACCUUCUUAUUGAGUUUGGUAAUAUGUCACACCCUGGCUAUGAAAAGAAGGUUCAGGAAAAAUCUAGCUGAGGCUAACACUAAAGUUACUCUAGCCACUCAAAUCCAAUGUCACUAAUCCUAAAAGGAAUGUUACUUUAUAUUGUUUCUAGUAAUGUACAGCAAUAUCUAGUGGAAGGAAACAGGUAUUACAAUCCAAUGGUGUAACUAAUAGGUAUCAAACUCUUCUGUCAGUUAUGGUCUGUAGGACCCCCAUUAACAGUGGUAGUCUUAAUGCUCAUAUUGUGACCCUAUAUUUUAAACCUUCUUGUAAAAUUUAUCUCUUUUCACCUAGAAGCAAUCUAAUCCCAAACAGUGCUGUGAGCAGAGCCACACAUGGACACGCCAUUCUUCCGAGAACCCUUACAUCAACCUCAGGAAACGGUCCAACAGCUGUCCCUCCAGAUGACACCCCUUUUCAGCAGGAAGUAGUCAGAAAUAAUCGUCAUCCAACACCCCCUAACAGCAGUUAGGUUUACUUCUCUUGAGGGAGGAAUAAUACAGGAGUUAUUAAGAAAUUAUGUUAGGGAGAUAGGGUAAGGAGCCCUCAGAAAGGCUUUUCCCUUGAAAAGAGUCAGCUCCUGAAACAUUUCUUUUCUAAUAGAAAGGUGUGUUGAAAAGCCAGCCUGGCAAGCUUUGAUAUGUGAAUGCCAGCAAUUAGAAACUGGGUCCAUCCAACAUAGUGAUUCUCACCCUCUUUGUCACCUUAUGUGCCAGGUGUCAUGGCCGCCUCCAGAUGACUCCACAUGUGCAGGAUGUCAUGGUGACCUGCAUUUCCGUAUUAAAACGCUAGGGUGGGAGGGCCAGGUUUUUCAUGGGCUGUGUGAAUGACACACCUGGUCAAACCAAUCCCCUAGGCCCUAUGCAAAUCAGACACCACCUCCAGCCUCCCAGUAUAACUGGCUACUUUUCUGCUGCAUACGGGGUUUUUCUCUGUUAGGAGCCCGCCUCCCUCUCUAUACGGGGAUACUUUCUUCUUUCUUGCCUAUUAAACUUUCCCCUCCUUUAAACCACUCCACGUGUAUCCGUGUCAUUUAUCUAACUGGUGCAAGACAAAGGACCCUGUUGUUUCUCUAGUUAUCAAAGACAUAUCAGGAAGAUUCUGAGGAUGUGUUUUCAUAGGACACCUGUCCAUAUUUGGAAAGAAGUUUAUGAAUUUCAAGUUUGGAAUGAUCUGGUAACCUGUCUCUACCGGCCUCAUCCCAGCAGUCUUCACUUUCAACACUCACAGAGAGGCUGUCCAGGGUGAAGAAGGACGUGUUUGCUUCACCUUCCAC